CUAGAAACGAUCAAAUCACAUAGAGCUGGUGGCGUUUGCCCAAUUUUGUUUCCAACAUGAGCAAGCCAUGCGACGGUGCCAAGACGGAGUGGCCUGAGCUGGUCGGGCGCACGAUCAAGGAGGCGGAGGAGAAGAUCAAGGCGGACCGGCCGGACCUCAAAGUCAGAAUUGUCCCGGUAGGAAGUAUUGUGACACACGACGAAGAUUUGAACCGCGUCCGUGUCUGGGUCGACAUGGUGGCGGAGGUUCCCAAGAUUGGCUAAGCUAGCUCAUAAUUAGCCGACUGGAAUAAAAGCCCAUGCAAGUCUCAACAUCGUCCAGUUAAUCGGCCAAAUAUAUAAGCAUGGUACAUUCUGAA
Molecule: long non-coding RNA, 358 nt
Organism: Triticum aestivum (bread wheat)
Lineage: Eukaryota; Viridiplantae; Streptophyta; Magnoliopsida; Poales; Poaceae
Exons: 2
Source: RefSeq, a predicted model, not a curated record